This 441-nucleotide ribosomal RNA is filed under the name uncultured bacterium. RNAcentral's name for it is "partial 16S ribosomal RNA". It matches the Rfam family "Bacterial small subunit ribosomal RNA", at positions 338 to 795 of the family's 1533-position model. The record is from RNAcentral.
CCUACGGGAGUGCAGCAGUGGGGGAUAUUGCACAAUGGGGGGAACCCUGAUGCAGCGACGCCGCGUGGGUGAAGAAGCGCCUCGGCGCGUAAAGCCCUGUCAGCAGGGAAGAAAAUGACGGUACCUGAAGAAGAAGCCCCGGCUAACUACGUGCCAGCAGCCGCGGUAAUACGUAGGGGGCAAGCGGUAUACGGAUUUACUGGGUGGUAAGGGGGCGCAGACGGCGAUGCAAGCCAGGAGUGAAAGCCCGGGGCCCAACCCCGGGACUGCUCUUGGAACUGCGUGGAGGGAGUGCAGGAGGGGCAGGCGGAAUUCCUGGUGUAGCGGUGAAAUGCGUAGAUAUCAGGAGGAACACCAGUGGCGAAGGCGGCUUACUGGACUGUAACUGACGUUGAGGCUCGAAAGCGUGGGGAGCAAACAGGAUUAGAUACCCGAGUAGUC